Musa acuminata AAA Group (dessert banana) is the source of this 1132-nucleotide long non-coding RNA. RefSeq lists it as uncharacterized. The record is from RefSeq and is a predicted model, not a curated record. The transcript has 6 exons. NCBI's taxonomy places the organism in Eukaryota, Viridiplantae, Streptophyta, Magnoliopsida, Zingiberales, Musaceae.
GCCCGUAGACCAGAAGCCUGCGCCCGGCCACAGGAACGAAGGCCCCAAGCCUGGCGAGUCGCUGAUCAACCGGGGUCAGGCGCCGAUCUCCGCGGGGCUUGCGAGCGGGAUCGGCACCGCCACGGACGACGAUGGUUGUCCGGAGCACGGUUGCGGCGGGGCUGCGCCCACUGGAUCGGUGGUUUAAUAGUGCUUGAACAAUGAAUCUCUUUGCUUGCACUGAAUUGUUCGAGGUUUAUGUUAUAGUUUUGAGAUUUCUUUUUAGAUUUGUGCAACUCCACUUUUGCUUGUGUAGUGUUGGGGGUUCUGGAUGUUUCUUGAACUGGCUCGGUGAAGUACUCAUCUAUUCCAGAAUUAAUGCUGGAUUGUGUGGUUCUUUGUUUAGGUGCCGGAGAAAAAGCCCUAUCCUUUUCGUGACCUAACGUUUGAGAGAGACAGUUAUUGAGCCAGUUCAGUAACUUGACAUCUGUUCGAAGGCCAUACUCUUCACAGCCAGAAGUGAUCACAUCCUGGAAGUGACCUGCAUUGCUUGUUUUAUCUAACGAGCGAGGUACCCAGCUGCUGUACUCCAGUGUCAACAGAGAGAUGUGGUAUGCUUGCAGUCUGAUUAGGAGUCAACAUGCUUUCGGUUGUGAUUCUGUGAUUACAGAAGGCCCAUUGCCAUAUUUAAAGGGGCUGAUCCACAGUGCGCAUGUUGGACAAGGUCCAUGGAUGGAUUUCUGGAACUCCAAGCUAUGUUUCUGAGCUUGAGCAACCAGGCCUUCAUUAUGAAACCUGGACAAGAGGAGGUCCAUAGACUAACUGUACAUGGUGAAAAGGAUGUGCUCCAUGACUUAAGAGCGAUUGGAACAGGGAACUAGUGCAUGGGCAUUUCCUAGCAUGGCUGGUGACAGAAGUGACUUUCGGACUCUUGCAUGAUGUAACAGUCUCAGCUCGGCUAAAAGCACACUAUUUCUCUGUUAUCCAAUUUCUGAAGAACAAUACUCUCUGUAGGUAAAUAUUGAUCUUGCAUCUUACAUCUCCUCCAACUGCUUCUAGGCGAAAUGUAUCAGUACAAGUAGCCUUAGCUUGCACGACACUGAGUCCCAGCUUCUCAAAGGCUUCCAAAAUGGAGACGAGCAAUCCCGGGUAG